This 29-nucleotide non-coding RNA is filed under the name Rattus norvegicus (Norway rat). Lineage: Eukaryota; Metazoa; Chordata; Mammalia; Rodentia; Muridae. The record is from RNAcentral.
UUAAUACUGUGAGAUACUCUGUGGAUGGC